Oreochromis aureus is the source of this 2660-nucleotide long non-coding RNA. RefSeq lists it as uncharacterized. The transcript is spliced from 2 exons. NCBI's taxonomy places the organism in Eukaryota, Metazoa, Chordata, Actinopteri, Cichliformes, Cichlidae. The record is from RefSeq and is a predicted model, not a curated record.
UUGAGGUAACCAACAGCAGUGCAGGUUACAUAUUACAGUGAAGGUCAUGCUUUGAUAUAGUUUAGCAGUUAAACAAACUUAAUUGCUUUUCAUCUGUCAGGCUUGGUCCCUCCUCCUGUGAGUGUGUGUCCUUCUGUGUUUGUGUUGUGUUGGCGUGGUGAAUACACGCAUUUCUGUGUGUCUUUCUGCAGCCACGCCCGUCUCCGCUGCAUGUGUGCCUGCAACAGGUGCACAUAUUGCCUCUGUCAGAACCUCCUCAAGUUGGAGCUGCUGCGCAGCAUUAAGGCCCAACUCCGCACGGUCGUGUUCAACAGGUGUUCACACACACGUUUGUGGCUGCCCCUCGUCCUCUUCCUCUUGCAUGUGUUCACUCUCUGCUAGUCUGCAUGGCUCACCUGUUCACUUCAACCUCUGUACUUAAAGGCAUGCCUCAGUCCUCUGUGAAAUACUGCCAUCUGCUGGCAGCUGGGGAAGGUUCUGCAUCUGUCUGUACAGUGAAGUGAGCUUGGUGUUGGAAUUUAAUUGUGCAGGUUUGCUGAGCUACACUGCAGGUGUGAAUGUGUUUAAAUGUGUUUUGAGUGCGUGUUUAUGUUGUUUCUAAUUUUUGUGAAUCAUUGUUAGUCACUCGGGCAGGGUUAGAUGAAGUGUUGCACCCAACGACUAACCCUUGUGUCGACAUCGUCUCUGGGAGUUGUUAUCAGUGAUCUUAAACAGGCAGAGUGAGGGCCUGACGACCUAAAAUCUAAUAUUAAAGUAACAUUUCAGGUCCGAUUGAUUACAAGCAUCAAGAUUAAGCUGCAUUGAGCCAAAGUGCUCAUUAAGAUUAGAAAUUAACUGAGUAACAAGUACAGACCAACCUUUAUACUCUGUUGUUAAAGAAUCUAACGCUCCAAGAACACAGACUAUUAUUUUAUUUGGUAACACACUAUACAGCUUGUUUAUGGUGUGUGUGUGUGCGUGUGUGCUUUUGUUUGAUAUGUGAAAUGAAAGUUGGUCAGGUAUUGUUGUGGUUGUGUUCAAGCUUGUGCUUCAGAGGUGGUGUUUGGCCUACUUUUCGGACUCGGUGGAGCUGGGCGAUACAGAUGACUUUUUAGGAUUUUUCACAUCCUCUCAUUUAUCUUAUUGGUGCAUUUUUAUUGUAUUUCCUUCAUUGUUAUAAAUAAAAGGGUAAAUAUAUUUUGCUGAAAAAGUGUAGUUAAUAGUUUUUACUGUUAAUGAGGAUAUACUGUAAUAUAGAACCAAGUGUAUAUGGUAUGCACCACCAUAUAUGUGGCCAUUUCCUCAUUUUUAUGUAAAAACAGUUCCCACACAUAUAGUAUUUCUCGGCUUCAGUCUCCCUCGUGAAUAUUUCCGGGUUUUUUUUUUUCGUUUCCUGUGCUUAAAGACUAUAUUUUUAAGUGCUGUUGGGUCAGACCAAACCUGACAAUAUUAUUUUUAGCUCAAACAAGUAGUUAUAGGUCCAGGUGAUUAGUGGGUUUUUUUUUUGUUUUUUUUUGUUUUGUUUUUUAAAAGUAAAUGUUUUUCUUAGAAACCAGGAUAUUAGGAUGGCUGUAAAUAGAUUUUCUACCAUUAGCUGCCCACAAACUGUGUUUGCAGGCGUAUUUAUGUCAAUGAGGUGAGGGUCAGAUAAUCUAUAAAGAUAGCAAUCAACAUUUCCUACUGAUUCAGACUACACAACCACAGUUAAGAAAAAACUUUUUCAAGUAAAUGCCUGCACAGACCAGCAUCAUGUGACUGGACCACAGGCAUGGUGUGGAGGCCACACAGAAACAGAGUUUUGAUGGAAAUUUGGUAAAAGCAAACGACAGCAGUGCAGAUGCAGACGCCGGGUAAACUGUAGUCUGUAAAGGCUGUGCAUCCUUCCUUUAUUCAACGCCACAAACAAAGGAUAAACUCUUAGGGACCGAGUCUACAUUUUAUUUCUACAGCAACAACUGUUGUGGCGAAAACACAACUACAGUCGCCUCACAGUGCUUUAUAUUCUAAGGUAGACCCUACAAUAAUACCCUAUGAGCAAGCGCUUUGGCAACAACAGGAAGGAAAAACUAGCUUUUAAAAGGAAGAAUCCUCUUAAACCAGGCUCGGUGAGGGGCACGUAUCUGCUGCGACCGGUCGGGAUGAGGAGAAUGAGGAUCUUUUUUAAAAUUAAGUGCAGGAGACUUUGUUGCCCUGGAGGCAAAACACAGUGUAAGAUGCUUAACUGUCUUAUACACUAGAGCACAUGAGAACAUCCUUCCAGAUUCCUCACGUGACAACAUGCUGAAAUUACUUUCACCUCGCUUCCUUGAAGAAGAGAUUCUUCUGAUAAGAUGACAGCUUGAGGGCCUCGUGCAGGUUUUCCUGCUGUGCAAUACUUUGCACAUAUCCUGUAGCUAUGGUAAAGUUAACAGGUAACUGUGUGUGGCAUGAUGUGCUGCAUGUUAAUUACAAUUAUGAGAACCUGUGUAAGUGAUUUCCCUAAAUGAAUGAACAAUGACUAAAGUAUAAACGCGUUAAAACGAGAUGUUGGUAUAUAUUGUAUGAUGGUGUAUGAAUUAUCUGCCUAGCAACCAAGCAAACAUCAUCGUUUACUCUGUCAACAUCAAUUUGUGUGUAAAACACGUUUACAGAAAGUUUUGAUGUUCAGUAAACUGCACCUUCUUUAAAAAAAAAAAAAAAAA